RNAcentral lists this ribosomal RNA (497 nucleotides) under uncultured bacterium. RNAcentral describes it as "partial 16S ribosomal RNA". It matches the Rfam family "Bacterial small subunit ribosomal RNA", at positions 28 to 507 of the family's 1533-position model. The record is from RNAcentral.
GAUGAACGCUGGCGGCGUGCCUAAUACAUGCAAGUCGAGCGAACAGACGAGGAGUUUGUUCCUCUGACGUUAGCGGCGGACGGGUGAGUAACACGUGGAUAACCUCCCUAUAAGACUGGGAUAACUUCGGGAAACCGGAGCUAAUACCGGAUAAUAUAUUGAACCGCAUGGUUCAAUAGUGAAAGACGGUUUUGCUUUCACUUAUAGAUGGAUCCGCGCCGCAUUAGCUAGUUGGUGAGGUAACGGCUUACCAAGGCAACGAUGCGUAGCCGACCUGAGAGGGUGAUCGGCCACACUGUAACUGAGACGCGGUCCAGGCUCCGACGGGAGGCAGCAGUAGGGAAUCUGCCGCAAUGGGCGAAUGCCUUACGGAGCAACGCCGCGUGAGUGAUGAUGGUCUUCGUAUCGUAAAACUCGGUUAUUAUGGAAGAACAAAUGUGUAAGUAACUAUGCACGUCUUGACGGUACCUAAUCAGAAAGCCCCGGCUAACUACGUG